Molecule: long non-coding RNA, 219 nt
Filed under: Carica papaya (papaya)
Lineage: Eukaryota; Viridiplantae; Streptophyta; Magnoliopsida; Brassicales; Caricaceae
Description: long non-coding RNA (CPAP_LNC012786)
Source: RNAcentral
AGCAUGAUCAUUAUACUUAAAUCAAUAGAUAGCUUACAUACAUAUGUUGUUUUUCCUCUUCAAGUCAUACAUUUUCUAAAUCCUUCGUACCAUUCUUUCUUUGGGUCUCGAAAUUAUAGGAUUUUUCGAUCAUUAUACAAAAUAUUGUCAAUGAGGAAGAAGAUAUAUUGGCACCUAGAGCUACAGAACAAGUUGUGGUUGAACCACUUGCCUAUUUUU